RNAcentral lists this transfer RNA (82 nucleotides) under Pseudenhygromyxa sp. WMMC2535. It matches the Rfam family "tRNA". Rfam says of the family: Transfer RNA (tRNA) molecules are approximately 80 nucleotides in length. Their secondary structure includes four short double-helical elements and three loops (D, anti-codon, and T loops). The record is from Rfam by way of RNAcentral. Lineage: Bacteria; Pseudomonadati; Myxococcota; Nannocystales; Nannocystaceae.
GCGAGGGUGGCGGAAUUGGUAGACGCGCCAGACUAAGGAUCUGGUGUCUUCGGACGUGAGGGUUCAAGUCCCUCCUCUCGCA